GGCUGUUUGCUCUAGUGGUAUGAUUCUUCCUUAGGGUGGAAGAAGUCCUGGGUUCGAUUCCCAGAACAAUCG
This 72-nucleotide transfer RNA is filed under the name Gregarina niphandrodes. It matches the Rfam family "tRNA". Rfam says of the family: Transfer RNA (tRNA) molecules are approximately 80 nucleotides in length. Their secondary structure includes four short double-helical elements and three loops (D, anti-codon, and T loops). Further hydrogen bonds mediate the characteristic L-shaped molecular structure. tRNAs have two regions of fundamental functional importance: the anti-codon, which is responsible for specific mRNA codon recognition, and the 3' end, to which the tRNAs corresponding amino acid is attached (by aminoacyl-tRNA synthetases). tRNAs cope with the degeneracy of the genetic code in two manners: having more than one tRNA (with a specific anti-codon) for a particular amino acid; and 'wobble' base-pairing, i.e. permitting non-standard base-pairing at the 3rd anti-codon position. Lineage: Eukaryota; Apicomplexa; Conoidasida; Eugregarinorida; Gregarinidae. The record is from Rfam by way of RNAcentral.